UUGAGGUUAGUGAUGGAAGAGGUUCCUUAGAUGAAAGUAUAUUUCAUUUGGUGUAGGAGUCAGGGUCGUCUGAGUACCAUCGUGGUGUACCUGCUAAUUUUAAAAAUGUGGGAAGAAAGUGAUGUUUACUCCAAUAAACAUGAUAUAGAAGUGAGAUUUAGUAUAUUGUUGAUUUAAGGAUAAACCUGUAAUUAGAGGGGGGGGAAUCAGUGAGUUUAACAAUAU
This is a long non-coding RNA of Octopus sinensis (East Asian common octopus), 225 nucleotides long. RefSeq lists it as uncharacterized. Lineage: Eukaryota; Metazoa; Mollusca; Cephalopoda; Octopoda; Octopodidae. The transcript has 3 exons. The record is from RefSeq and is a predicted model, not a curated record.